UACGUAGGGUGCAAGCGUUAAUCGGAAUUACUGGGCGUAAAGCGUGCGCAGGCGGUUUUGUAAGUCUGUUGUGAAAGCCCCGGGCUUAACCUGAAAUGCGAUGGAGACUGCAAGGCUUGAAUCUGGCAGAGGGGGGUAGAAUUCCACGUGUAGCAGUGAAAUGCGUAGAGAUGUGGAGGAACACCGAUGGCGAAGGCAGCCCCCUGGGUCAAGAUUGACGCUCAUGCACGAAAGCGUGGGGAGCAAACAGG
This 251-nucleotide ribosomal RNA is filed under the name uncultured bacterium. Its description in RNAcentral is "partial 16S ribosomal RNA". It matches the Rfam family "Bacterial small subunit ribosomal RNA", at positions 524 to 776 of the family's 1533-position model. The record is from RNAcentral.